Molecule: ribosomal RNA, 1309 nt
Filed under: Syntypistis chambae
Lineage: Eukaryota; Metazoa; Arthropoda; Insecta; Lepidoptera; Notodontidae
Description: 16S ribosomal RNA
Source: RNAcentral
AAAAAAAAUAGUUUUAAUAUUAAAAUAAUUUAAUGGGGGUUAAAGUAUUUUAAUUGAAAAAAUUAUUAAUUUUAUAGUAUAUUAGUAUUGUGAGAGAAUUUUGAAAUAUUUUAAAUAUAAAUUAUUUAUAAAGUAAAUUUAAUUUAUUGUAUCUUGUGUAUCAGAGUUUAUUAAAUUUUUUUAGGGUAAAAAUUUAAAUUUCUCGAAUUUAAAAGAGAUAAUUAAUUAAUAAAGUUAUUGUUGCAAAAAUAUUUUUAAUAAUUAAUUUGAAAUGAGAUGUUAAUCGUUUUUAAAUAUAUCUAGUUUUUUUAGAAAAAAAUUUAAUUUUAAAUUUUAUAGUUAAAUAAUAAUAAUUUAAUUAAUUAUUUUUUAUAUAAAAUUUUAUAUUUUAAGGGAUAAGCUUUAAAUUAAAUUUAUAUAAUAUUAGAUAUUUUAAAAUAUUUUUGAAAAUUUUAUAAUUUAAAUUGUUAAUAAAUUUUAUUUUAUUAUAAAUAAUUUCAUUUAAAUAUAAAAUUUAAUUUUUAUUUAUAUUUUUAUAAAAAAAUAAAUUAAAUUUAAAAAAAUUUAGUUAUAAUGAUAAAAUUAGUAUAUAAUUAAAAUUAGUAAUUUUAUUUUUUUUUUUAAUUAAUAAAUAGGAAUUCGGCAAAUUUUAAUAUUCACUUGUUUAUCAAAAACAUGUCUUUUUGAUUUAUAAUUUAAAGUCUAAUCUGCCCACUGAUUUUUAAUUAAAGGGCUGCAGUAUUUUGACUGUACAAAGGUAGCAUAAUCAUUAGUCAUUUAAUUGAUGACUUGUAUGAAAGAUUGGAUGAAAUAUUGACUGUCUUUUUAUUAAUUUAUAUAAUUUAAUUUUUCAAUUAAAAAGUUGAAAUAAUUUAAAAAGACGAGAAGACCCUAUAGAGUUUUAUAAAAUAUUAAAUUAAUAUUAUUUUUAAGAUUAAUAUAAAAAUUUAUUUUUUUAUUUUGUUGGGGUGAUAUAAAAAUAUAAUUAACUUUUUAUUUUCGUUUAACAUAAAUAAGUGAUUAUUUGAUCCAAUAAUAUUGAUUAAAAGAAAAAAUUACCUUAGGGAUAACAGCGUAAUUUUUUUUUUUAGUUCAAAUAAGAAAAAGAGUUUGCGACCUCGAUGUUGGAUUAAGAUAAAUUUUAAAUGUAGAAGUUUAAAAAUUUGAUCUGUUCGAUCAUUAAAAUCUUACAUGAUCUGAGUUCAAACCGGUGUGAGCCAGGUUGGUUUCUAUCUUUUAAAAAAUAAUAUAUUUUAGUACGAAAGGAAUAAAUAUUAAAAUUAAAUUUAUUUUAAGAAUCUUAAUAAUU